GUUUAGUGGGACAAGACUGCCCUCUAUAGACCAAAUACUAAAUGGCUAUCUGGAAGGUAACCACUCCCCCAGUGUUGCUUUUGGUCUACCAAUUAGUGAAUUUUCCCUUUAAAAAGUUAAGACAGGAGGGUUGAGAGAAGGAAGCAGAGGAGAGGAAUUGGAAGUUUGGGGACUCCAACUCAGACAUGCAGAGAAACCCAGGACAACAUCUGAGACUAACACUCUACUCUUAAAAUUCUAACACUUAGAAUUUUACUGACUUUCUAACCAACACCACCUUUCACCAUAACUCAUGCACCUACACACAUCCAAAUAAGUUCCUGAGACUAUUCAUCUGAUGAGAAUAUCUACUCAACUGGUAAUUAUA
Non-coding RNA from Pelobates cultripes (western spadefoot toad), 367 nucleotides. The record is from the annotation of a GenBank genome assembly. Lineage: Eukaryota; Metazoa; Chordata; Amphibia; Anura; Pelobatidae.